GUGGAUUAGAUACCCUGGUAGUCCACGCCCUAAACGAUGAUAACUCGAUGUUAGCGAUAUACAGUUAGCGUCUUAGCGAAAGCGUUAAGUUAUCCACCUGGGGAGUACGCCCGCAAGGGUGAAACUCAAAGGAAUUGACGGGGGCCCGCACAAGCGGAGGAGCAUGUGGUUUAAUUCGAUGAUACGCGAGGAACCUUACCCGGGCUUGAAAGUUACUGAAUGAUCUAGAGAUAGAUCAGUCCUUCGGGACAGGAAACUAGGUGCUGCAUGGUUGUCGCCAGCU
This 283-nucleotide ribosomal RNA is filed under the name uncultured bacterium. RNAcentral's name for it is "partial 16S ribosomal RNA". It matches the Rfam family "Bacterial small subunit ribosomal RNA", at positions 773 to 1060 of the family's 1533-position model. The record is from RNAcentral.